This 1682-nucleotide long non-coding RNA is filed under the name Delphinapterus leucas (beluga whale). Its description in RNAcentral is "lncRNA (ENSDLEG00000013699.1)". Lineage: Eukaryota; Metazoa; Chordata; Mammalia; Artiodactyla; Monodontidae. The record is from RNAcentral.
GACAUAUACAAAAUGUUUUUUAAAUAAAUAUGGGUGUCUGAAGAGGAUUUUAAAAGGGUUCCUUUGUCUAAGACCAACUGUUAUUUUUUGAGGCUUCCUCAUUUAAUUUUUUAUUUAGUUUUUCUUUGUUUUUUACCGUUUGCCUGCUUGAAGCCUCUUUUAAGGCAUGUACUCUUUUAUUUCUUACUCAGUACUCAUGGCCCUUCUAUUCAUUAUUCUCAUAAAUUAGCCCGGGCUGUUUUGGCUCGCUGAGCAAAACCGCUCAGAGCUCAUAUAACAGAGGCUAAGCCAAAGAGAAGAGGACGUAAACCCCAGGCCAGCUUGGGGAACGCCUGUGGGUAGGUGGCAAACGUAAUGCCUUCAGCGUCUGGGAAGUAAAACGAAUGGAUGAUGCCGGCCAAGCGCAAUGUUUGAGAGUGGUGAGGGUUUUGGUAAAUGCAGAAUGUCCCCCGUCUGUGACGCCCACUCCCAACCUCAGCAGAUAAUUACAAGGCGGUGACGGGACCACAUGUAGCAGCCUAAUCUAGUUAUUGUAUUACAAAGGCUGGAAAUGUGGAUUUGUACACAAAACCUCCCCAUUUUCAAAUUCUGGCAACUACUACAAUGAAAACAAAGACACACGCGCCCCCGGCCUCUGAUUUGCGAAUGCUGUUCGGCCGCUCCCCCAAGACUUUUUCACGGAGAUCCCAAGGGCCUAUUAUUGAGCCUAGUUUUCUUCUCCAAAGCUCCAGAAACAUGACAACGAGAAGGAGGACUCCCCAGCCUUGUGGAGAUCGGAAGAGGAGAUGGCAGCCGAAGCCGCGGCGCUGCGUGGCUACUUUCAGUGACGCAGGCACCAAAGGAACUCAAACAAGUCCCAAGGCGUAAGGAAAUGGGGCUCGUGCUUUAGGACCCUGCGGCACUGAAAAUGAAGCGAAGCAGACUUUAUUACAUCCUACAAUUCGACAACCUUUUGCAAAGCAUCUUAUUAUGCUUGUGGAAGCAAUCGGGGUUAUGUUUCAAUCACAACGACUGACAGGCUGCCUUCAGAACAACGGCACCCGUGGCCCUUCCACACUUCUUCGGCUAUGUACUUAGAAUAGAACCUUUUCUAAAUUGUCCCUUGGCCUGGAUGGAAAUAAAAUGAUAGUUAAAAUAUUUAGCUUGCAUGUUGGCUAACUUAAAAAUUGACAUUUGGGGUCCUCUGAAAGGCACAACUGAGGAUAGAUCAAGUCUCCUGUGUUUCCUGUAAACCAAAGGUUUGUUAAGGCUGAGAGAAGAUUUACAGAGUUUCCUUCGUGGUAGGUAAGAUAAUAGAGUAAGAAAUGUCCACCUUUUCCUCGGUUAUAUUCUCCUCCUGCCUUGGGUGCAGAGAGGCAGAUCUGAAAGAGCUUAAGAUGGCAAAAUUAGCUUCAGGAAACUAAUAAACACGUAAUGUGCUGACUGGACACCGUUCUGGGCUGCUGGAGUGGUAGGAAUGUAAGGAAAAGAAUGGGGAAGCUCUCAAAAUUGGUUGAGGAAACAUGCCCCUUGCCCGUAACGGUCAAUUUCUUUAAGGAAGGAUGACAGAAGUAGGCUCUUUCUUUCCUCUGGUAGAUUAAUAAAACAGGGGAUUCGAGUUUAUAGAGGAAAAAGUAAAACACGCCAAGAGCACUGCUACAAAGAGCCCAGAGCAGGACUUCUCUUUGUCACAAAAAGCCUCC